GUGCCAGCAGCGGCGGUAAUACAGGCAGCCCGAGUGAUGGCCGAGAUUAUUGGGCCUAAAGCGUCCGUAGCAUGCUGUGUAAGUCCAUUGGGAAAUCGACGCGCUCAACGCGUCGGCGUCCGGUGGAAACUACACAGCUUGGGGCCGAGAGACUUGACGGGUACGUCCGGGGUAGGAGUGAAAUCCCGUAAUCCUGGACGGACCACCGAUGGGGAAACCACGUCAAGAGAUCGGUCCCGACGGUGAGGGACGAAAGCCAGGGUCUCGAACCGGAUUAGAUACCCCGGUAGUCC
Molecule: ribosomal RNA, 293 nt
Filed under: uncultured bacterium
Lineage: Bacteria
Description: partial 16S ribosomal RNA
Rfam family: Archaeal small subunit ribosomal RNA
Source: RNAcentral